Molecule: non-coding RNA, 85 nt
Organism: Felis catus (domestic cat)
Lineage: Eukaryota; Metazoa; Chordata; Mammalia; Carnivora; Felidae
Source: Rfam
ACCUGGGUGGCUCAGUUGGUUAAGCGUCCGACUUCGGCUCGGGUCAUGAUUUCGUGGUUCGUGGGUUCGAGCCCCGCAUCGGGCU